This 500-nucleotide ribosomal RNA is filed under the name uncultured bacterium. RNAcentral's name for it is "partial 16S ribosomal RNA". It matches the Rfam family "Bacterial small subunit ribosomal RNA", at positions 30 to 523 of the family's 1533-position model. The record is from RNAcentral.
AUUGAACGCUGGCGGCAUGCCUUACACAUGCAAGUCGAACGGCAGCACGGACUUCGGUCUGGUGGCGAGUGGCGAACGGGUGAGUAAUAUAUCGGAACAUACCUUGUAGUGGGGGAUAACUAUCCGAAAGGAUAGCUAAUACCGCAUACGCUCUAAGGAGGAAAGUGGGGGAUCGCAAGACCUCAUGCUAUAAGAGUGGCCGAUAUCUGAUUAGCUAGUUGGUGAGGUAAAGGCUCACCAAGGCAAAGAUCAGUAGCUGGUCUGAGAGGACGACCAGCCAAACUGGAACUGAGACACGGUCCAGACUCCUACGGGAGGCAGCAGUGGGGAAUUUUGGACAAUGGGGGCAACCCUGAUCCAGCAAUGCCGCGUGAGUGAAGAAGGCCUUCGGGUUGUAAAGCUCUUUUGUCAGGGAAGAAACGGUUGUGGCUAAUAUCCAUGGCUAAUGACGGUACCUGAGGAAUAAGCACCGGCUAACUACGUGCCAGCCGCCGCCGUAA